RNAcentral lists this ribosomal RNA (500 nucleotides) under uncultured Glomeromycotina. Its description in RNAcentral is "partial small subunit ribosomal RNA". It matches the Rfam family "Eukaryotic small subunit ribosomal RNA", at positions 591 to 1092 of the family's 1831-position model. Lineage: Eukaryota; Fungi; Glomeromycota. The record is from RNAcentral.
CCAAUAGCGUAUAUUAAAGUUGUUGCAGUUAAAAAGCUCGUAGUUGAACCUCGGGAUCAAUGGGUCGGUCAUGCCAAUGGUAUGUACUGGCCUCAUUGGUUCUCACCUUCUAAGGAACCAUGAUGUCAUUCAUUUGAUGUUGUGGGGAAUUAGGACUGUUACCUUGAAAAAAUUAGAGUGUUUAAAGCAGGCUAACGCUUGAAUACAUUAGCAUGGAAUAAUGAAAUAGGACAUCGCAUUCUAUUUUGUUGGUUUCUAGGAUCGAUGUAAUGAUUAAUAGGGAUAGUUGGGGGCAUUAGUAUUCAAUUGUCAGAGGUGAAAUUCUUGGAUUUAUUGAAGACUAACCACUGCGAAAGCAUUUGCCAAGGAUGUUUUCAUUAAUCAAGAACGAAAGUUAGGGGAUCGAAGACGAUCAGAUACCGUCGUAGUCUUAACCAUAAACUAUGCCGACUAGGGAUCGGAUGAUGUUGAUUUUUUAAUGACUCAUUCGGCGCCUUACG